CAGCACCUCAAGUGGUCAGGAUGAUUAUUGGGCCUAAAGCAUCCGUAGCCGGCUCUGUAAGUUUUCGGUUAAAUCUGUAUGCUCAACAUACAGGCUGCCGGGAAUACUGCAGAGCUAGGGAGUGGGAGAGGUAGACGGUACUCGGUAGGAAGGGGUAAAAUCCUUUGAUCUAUUGAUGACCACCUGUGGCGAAGGCGGUCUACCAGAACACGUCCGACGGUGAGGGAUGAAAGCUGGGGGAGCAAAACGGAUUAGAUACCCGAGUAGUCC
Molecule: ribosomal RNA, 270 nt
Filed under: uncultured archaeon
Lineage: Archaea
Description: partial 16S ribosomal RNA
Rfam family: Archaeal small subunit ribosomal RNA
Source: RNAcentral